This 345-nucleotide non-coding RNA is filed under the name Cryptosporidium parvum. The record is from RNAcentral. Lineage: Eukaryota; Apicomplexa; Conoidasida; Eucoccidiorida; Cryptosporidiidae.
GCUUCAGUAAUAGGCGGAAGCCCAUUCAAGCUCUUUUCAACUUCGUAUACAUUUAUGCUAGACCCGCAAAACCCGCAUUCAGAUAUAUUUUGUUUAACCAUCUUUCCAUUAGUCAUCACGAUGCUUGCAUCCCAUUUAGGGAAAUAAGCAUGUAGUGCUGAAUCCAAAUAGCUAAUAAAUUCGAGCAUUUUUUCGUAUAUAUUUUUCAUGAACGCAGCUAUCUGCUCAACAACAUAACUUCUAGAAUAUUCACCGGAAGUUAUUUUCUCGAUACUUCUUUCAAUUAUUUGUCUAAUUCUAAAAUGCAUUAGGUUGCAAGCCGGUAUAUUCUUUAAAUAAAGCGAC